This 406-nucleotide ribosomal RNA is filed under the name uncultured bacterium. RNAcentral's name for it is "bacterial SSU rRNA". It matches the Rfam family "Bacterial small subunit ribosomal RNA", at positions 355 to 775 of the family's 1533-position model. The record is from RNAcentral.
UGGGGAAUAUUGGGCAAUGGGCGAAAGCCUGACCCAGCAACGCCGCGUGAAGGAAGAAGGUUUUCGGAUUGUAAACUUCUGUCCUCAGGGAAGAAGGAAGUGACGGUACCUGAGGAGGAAGCCCCGGCUAACUACGUGCCAGCAGCCGCGGUAAUACGUAGGGGGCGAGCGUUGUCCGGAAUGACUGGGCGUAAAGGGCGCGUAGACGGUUUUUUAAGUCUGGAGUGAAAGUCCUGCUUUCAAGGUGGGAAUUGCUUUGGAGACUGGGGGACUUGAGUGCGGAAGAGGUAAGUGGAAUUCCCAGUGUAGCGGUGAAAUGCGUAGAGAUUGGGAAGAACACCAGUGGCGAAGGCGACUUACUGGGCCGUAACUGACGUUGAUGCGCGAAAGCGUGGGGAGCGAACAG